GGCUUUAUAGUCAAUAAAUAAAAUGAUAUCAGACUGCAAUUCUGAAGUAGUAUUUUUACUAAAGCUU
Molecule: transfer RNA, 67 nt
Filed under: Peirates lepturoides
Lineage: Eukaryota; Metazoa; Arthropoda; Insecta; Hemiptera; Reduviidae
Description: tRNA-Cys
Source: RNAcentral